Long non-coding RNA from Homo sapiens (human), 1294 nucleotides. Ensembl annotates it as long intergenic non-protein coding RNA 964. Lineage: Eukaryota; Metazoa; Chordata; Mammalia; Primates; Hominidae. The record is from Ensembl.
ACUUGAGUUUGACUUCAUGGGUUUGCCGUGUGCCCCUGAACAAACCAGUUAUCCUCUCUAUGCCUUAUUUCGGUAUGCCCAUCUAACACUAAUUACCACCCCUCCCUGACUGCCCCCAAACCUUACCAGAAGAAAUGGCAUGAAGUUACGGAGACACUUUGAACUCAUUGGCAAAUUGUGCACUGUGAGGGGAAAGCACUGUGGCGGCCAUUUUCUUUUCUUCCUUGAGAAAGUCCCUUGCUAAUCAUUAAGACUGGCUGAGUAAGCUUGUUCCUUUACAUUUGAUGCUGGCCUGGGUGCUGGAAUAUGGAAAUGAGGAAGAUCCUGCCUGAGGAUUUCAUGACAGUGCUGCGAUUACCGACGUGAGCCACUGUGCCCAGCCUCACUUUAAAAAAAAAAAAAGGUUAUGAAGCAUCUCAACACAAGACCUCCUUUGCUCAUCACAACCACCCAGUGAAGCAGGCAAGACAACAGAAACUCCCCACCUGUGAUAGAUGUGAGGCCUGAAGUCUCCCACAUACCCACGGCAGAUGCAACGCACAGCGGUGACCAAUGGUAGGGAUAACAAGUAUUGCUUCCGCCCAUUCAGUACUUCUUGCAUGCCAGAUCUGUGCUAAGUGCUAGAUGAACACAGUCUCUUUUCAUUCUCAUAGCUCUUUAAAACAGGUAUUGUUUUCUUUUAAAACAAAUUGUUUUGUUAAAUAUAAAUAUCAUGUACCUUAUAUAUAUAUUAUAUAUAAAAAUACAUGUAAUUUACCAUUUUAACCAUUUCAAAAUGUCCAGUUCAGGAGCAUUAAGUACAGUCACAUUGUUGUGCUACUGUCACUACACCAUCCACAGAAUUCUUCCUCUUUCCAAACUGAAAUUCUACGCACUUUAAACAAUAACGCCCUAUUCCCCCCUCCCUCCAGUCUCUGGCACCCACCAUUUUGCUUUCUGUCUUUGUGAAGUUGACCACUCCAGCUAUAUCAUAUAGUAUUUGUCUUUUUGUGACUGCUUUAUUUCAAUUAGCAUAAUAUCCUCAAGGUUCUUCUAUGUUGUAGCAUAUACUGGAAUUUCCUUGUGUGUGUGUGUAUGAACCUCUAUAAAGGAUCCUUCCUUUUUAAGGUUGAACAAUAUUCCAUGUAUGUAUAUAUCCAGUUUUGCUUAUCUGUUCAUCUGUCAAUGAACACUUGGAUUGUUGCCACAUUUUAGUUAUUGGGAAUAAUUUUGGCUAUUGUGAAUAAUCUGUACACAUGAGUGUACAGAUAUUUCUUUGAUAAAAUAGGUAAAUAAAAUUGCUUUAUAAAGAAAA